This 103-nucleotide ribosomal RNA is filed under the name Caerostris extrusa. The record is from RNAcentral. Lineage: Eukaryota; Metazoa; Arthropoda; Arachnida; Araneae; Araneidae.
ACGGCCACACCAUGCUGAAUAUACCGGUUCUCGUUAGAUCACCGAAGUCAAGCAUCACAGGGCGCAGUCAGUGCCAGGUGGGUGACCACCCGGGAAGUCAAAG